This 226-nucleotide unclassified non-coding RNA is filed under the name Melitaea cinxia (Glanville fritillary). Its description in RNAcentral is "misc RNA ENSMCXG00005010944.1". The record is from RNAcentral. Lineage: Eukaryota; Metazoa; Arthropoda; Insecta; Lepidoptera; Nymphalidae.
AAUUUUUGUAAAAUUUUUGCAAGUAAGAAUUUUUUCAACUAGGAUGAUCAAUAUUUAUACAAGAAGUAGUUUUUAUUUUAAUUACUUACCGCCCUAGGGCUUUUUUAGCUACAUUAUUACCCUAGAGCGCUAAUUAGUCACCUACAAGUCCCAUCUAGAGGUAAUAAGAACCUAUUUACCGAACAUGAGAGAUGUAAAAAUUGUUGGUAACAUAAAACGAUUAUAA